RNAcentral lists this transfer RNA (69 nucleotides) under Marmota marmota marmota (Alpine marmot). It matches the Rfam family "tRNA". Rfam says of the family: Transfer RNA (tRNA) molecules are approximately 80 nucleotides in length. Their secondary structure includes four short double-helical elements and three loops (D, anti-codon, and T loops). The record is from Rfam by way of RNAcentral. RNAcentral also lists the same sequence under 3 other names. Lineage: Eukaryota; Metazoa; Chordata; Mammalia; Rodentia; Sciuridae.
GGGGUUGUAGCUCAGUGGCAGAGCACUUGCCUAGCAUGUGUGAGGCACUGGGUUCGAUUCUCAGCACCA